RNAcentral lists this RNase P RNA (408 nucleotides) under uncultured Rectinema sp. RNAcentral describes it as "Bacterial RNase P class A". It matches the Rfam family "Bacterial RNase P class A". Rfam says of the family: Ribonuclease P (RNase P) is a ubiquitous endoribonuclease, found in archaea, bacteria and eukarya as well as chloroplasts and mitochondria. Its best characterised activity is the generation of mature 5'-ends of tRNAs by cleaving the 5'-leader elements of precursor-tRNAs. Cellular RNase Ps are ribonucleoproteins. The record is from RNAcentral. Lineage: Bacteria; Pseudomonadati; Spirochaetota; Spirochaetia; Treponematales; Rectinemataceae.
GCGGGCUGGGUUGCCGCAGGCAUUAUGCUUGAGGAAAGUCCGGGCUCGGAAGGGUUCGAUGCCGGAUAAUGUCCGGGGCAGGAAGAGCCUUUAGUUCCGAAUGUUCGGGGCUUAAGGCUUUAUCUUGUACAGAAAGUACCACAGAAAAUACACCGCUGCGUUUAUACGCAGUAAGGGUGAAAAGGUGAGGUAAGAGCUCACCGCAUUCCUGGCGACAGGAAUGGCAUGGCAAACCUCAUCGCGAGCAAGGUCAAACAGCGAUGGAUAACCCAUCCAAGUCGCUAUAAGCGGCAGAAUCGCGGGUAGACCGCUAGAAUGUACCAGCAAUGAUACAUCGAGACAGAUGGCAACCAUGCCGAGAGUGAAAUUAGCUCAAAGCAUACAGAACCCGGCUUACAGGCCCGCCUU